This is a long non-coding RNA of Octopus bimaculoides (California two-spot octopus), 4337 nucleotides long. The record is from RefSeq and is a predicted model, not a curated record. Lineage: Eukaryota; Metazoa; Mollusca; Cephalopoda; Octopoda; Octopodidae.
GCAGUUGUUGGUGAUGGUGCUGGUGAUGGUUGUUGUUGAUAUUGAAGCUGCUGCUGCUCUAAUGACGGUAUUUCUAGCAACAUACGUAAUCAUACACGACAUACAAGAUCAUUAAAAUGGAAUGUCAAGUGGAGAAAACUAAGCAAUUUUGACACCAUUUGCUUUUUGUAUUUAAUUGAGGUGUUAAGGCUGCUGAAGCUGCUCGUGAGAUUUAUGCUGUGUAUAGAGAAGGCGCAAUGCCUCAAAGUACCUACCGCCGUUGGUUUUAGCACUUCAGAAAUGGGAAUUUUGACCUUAAGGAUGGAUCACACUCUGGCCGACCAAUUGAGUUGGAUGAAGAGUAAUUGAAUCAACUUAUUCACAAAAAUCCACAUUAAAUGACCAAAUAAUUGGCAGAGCAGAUGGAUUGUGAUCAGAAAACUAGCAUGGUUUCUAUGGCUGGAUGCCCUUCUUAAUGUCAACCAUUUUGCAGAGUUUGCAGGGUGCUUUCACAUUGGCACCACAUGAGUGCUGUAAUGUGGCACUGGCAUGAAUGCUUUUUAUGUGGCAUCAGCACAGGGCUCUAGCAAGCCAAGCCUCUUCACCAGGAAGAGCAGCCUUAACACUUCUACUGUGGAGUAUGUAUCUUCUUAAGUACAGCAAUGCACCAGGAAGACCCUGUUGUGCCAGGAAUCUCUGUUCCCCAUUAGCAUUAGUAGAUCCUUAUUUUCAUGCUAUAUGUUUCUCUGCCAAUAACAUUACUGUCACUGAGUGGUCUUCAUCCCCUAUUAAAGCAUGGAAGUCUCUAAAAUAUAACAUUUGACAUGAGCUGUUGUUCAGCAUGAUGACAGUGGCCAGGAAAACCUAACCUGCACUGUGGAACAAUGUUGUCAAUAUUACUAAAUUUUGACCACACUGUAGAGCAAAUGAUCUUGUUUUAUAUAAUGGACACUGUUAAUAUUUGUAAUGAUCAUAUAUUAUAGUUUAUUGAAUGACUUUUUGAAUACUAUACAUCAUUUCUGUUACUUAAAAAUAAGUUAUUAUUGAUAAUAAAUUUAUUUUCUGAAUGUAUAUGUCACAUAAACCAUCUUUGGAACUUGAUCUACUAAGCUCUAAGAUUAUCAUAUUCCUUUAUCAAGUAUGUGAUUGAGGUGGGUCCAAUGAAGAUUUUGUAAGUCCAUGAUGACUUGGCAGAUUUAUAAAUUAGGAAUCCCUGAUUUCCCAUCACAUACUGGAGCUUUUAAUUUGCUUGUUGAUGAUUAAAAUUGUGAAAUGUUUUACAAACAGAAUUCUGACAAAUUAAAAUUUAAAAAAUUUUUUUUAAAUUGGUAAGCACUUUUAUAGAAGUAACAAUAUGCUUAAUAAUUUAAGUUCAAUACUUUUCCAACUCUAUAAACACCUCAGAUCCAAACUUUGCCAUAUUUAUUGUGGCUUUCAUUGGUAACUAAUUGUUUUUGGUAAUGAAGAUAUUGUGUCAAUGUAUGUAACAAUACUUUCUAUAAAACCUUUGUAUAAAGCAAACCAAAUGAAACUAUCCCAAUCAAUACCCUAUUAUGCAGAAUAUAUAUCCAAUAAUAACAAUAAUAAUAAUAAUAUCUUUCUCCACUUGUUAUUCUACUUAACUAUUGUUUGCUUCAAUAACUGCUCAUGAAGGGACGAAGAACUCUCAAUAAACUCUACUAGUUCUGCAAGUCUUGUUGAGAUUGAUUAAGGUUGAUGAAACAAGUUAACCGUAAUCAACCAAAACAAACAUUCGACACAAAACUAAUGUGAAAACAUAUUUACAUGUUUAAAACAUAUUUAUUCUUACUACAGGUUAAUAUUGUGGGGCCACAUGGCUUAGUGGUUAGGGCACGGCACCCUUGGUUGUAAGAUUGUGGAUUUGAUUCCUGGUUUAGGCAAUGUGUUGUUCUUGGACAAAGCACUUCAUUUCAUAUUGCUCUGGUCCACUCAGCUGGCAAAAAAUGAAUAAUCCUGGUGUCUCAUCCAGGUGGGGAAUGAAUACACCACAGAAUCCUGGAAACCAGCCUUAUGAGCUUGUACCUUGGGAAGAACCUUUGAACUAUUUUUGUUUUUUGACAGGUUAAUGUUAGCUUAAUUUUUACUGGUUUUAGUCACUAAACUGCAACCAGAUUAGAGCACCACCUUUAAGGUUUUUAGUGAAAUGUAAUGAUCCUCAUUGUUUAUUUUAGUCUGGAAGUUGUUUUAUCAGUCUUUAGUUAUCGAAUCGCUGAAUUUAGUUCUUGACACAAUGGAACACAAAAUGACACACCAGUUUACAUAAAAGCACACACACAAAUGCAUACAAACAUGCAUGAGUGUAGUCAUGGAUUUAUUAUUGUCUUCAUUGCUGUCGAUUUCUUUUUUUUGCUUUUUCGUUACCUGAUAAAGAUUUCAGCCAUGUUGGAUAAGCACGCACACAUACAUGAACAAAUAGAUACAUGCAUGCAUACAUAUAUUUAUACAUAUAUACAUACGUGCAUACAUAUAUGCAUACAUACACAUGUACAACCUCAUGCAUGUUAAUUGAAAUGAACCAAGAGGAUUACUCCAACAUCAGGAGGUGCAGCCAAACAGAAAAAGCCAAAAGAUCCCAUAGAAAAUCUUAAAUGUUCAUGUUUAGAGGGGAAAUUUGACCUUUGUUAUUUGACAAUGUGAUAACAAAUUUCUUAACAUUCCGUCUAUUUAUGAGGCAAGUAUACAUCCACCGUCACAUUUAAUAAAUCAUUCUCUUUUUAAGACAGCAGGAUGUGAUUUGAGGGAGAUUUGUUUGUUAUUUCUAGAAGGUGGAGCGAAUACAAAAAAGAUUCUUCGCUAACUCGUUCUGUCGUGAUAUAUUAACAUCUGGUAAUUCGAUAACAAAACGAUGAAAUUUCACUACAACUUUUCUUUUUCGUGGGUUCGAUAAAUAAGCAGCAACGCUAUUAGUAUAUUCAGAGUGUGUGGGACGGUUUGCUUUGCAUAUACCCUAUACAAAUCAGAUGUUUUAUGUAAACUACAUAUUUGCAGUUCGUUGCGGCCCAAAGUAACUAUCUUUUGAUUUCGGCUUCAAAUAUCGUUUUGUGCGGCAACUUCCUGCGCAUGCGUUUAAGACGGAGUCAGUGUGCAAGAAGGCGAAGCUUUCAAGAAUUUUUUCACAAUGAACGAAAUAAUAUAUUUAUGAAUGUAUAAACAACUAAGAUUUUCAGUAGCCUUGCUUUCCUUUUCUGUCACUAACUGAUUCUAUAAAUUCUAUUGUCACUUUGCAUUAAAUAUACACAUUCAAAAAAAGUUUUGUCUUGAACAUUUCCUAAAAAUAAUGAAGAAUAAGAUUAAAUUAAAAAUCCUCCAACUUUCAGAAAACCCCCCAAAACAAAUUGCAUUUCUUUUACUAUAGCUAUAUUAUGAAACGGGAAGAGGAGCAAAAAUGUAAAAGAAUUAAAUUUUUUGAACAAAAAUUCUUUCAAAGAAAGAAACAAACAUCCAGUUCCUUGUCCUUUUUCAUGAGGAAGUGAUGGUUAUUCCGAAAGUUCGCUCAUCAAAGAUUACAAUUGUCUCGUGAGUAAAAAUUUAUCAAAAUAAAAGAGUGGAGUGCAAGGGUGGGGAUUUUACAAAUAUAAGGAAAACUAUUCAAAGAAAUUUAUAAAUGAAACUACAUCGAAAAAGAAUCAGAUUAAGAUCCUGUUAUAUUUAAUUAUGUGGUUGCACAAAUAAAUUGUGAAAAUAAGCAUUUAAAAAAAGAGGCGAUGCCGACUCACUUCAGAUUCUUGCAACACUUUUAACUUCAUGCAAAAUUGACUAUGCUAUGUGUUGUUGACACAGCUUGUGUCAAACUGAACAUAGCCUUGCCCACUGAGAGAUAUUGACUGUUACAGCGAAAAUGAGAACGGCAAUCAGCAUCAGACACUAUCACCUAGCUACAGAGAACGUGUUACGUUGUUGUUCAUUUAGGUAGACAUUUUUACACAAUGGGGUUACUGUCUGUUCUUAAUCUAUUUCACAUUUUCUCAACUAUUUAUAAACACAGUCUACCGUCACCCAAAUUGGUGUUCACGUUAACUGUAUAAUGCGUAGCAUGCCUGUUUGUUCUUUACGCAUAGUAACAUCACUGGUAUUAUACAUUGGAUCAAAUCAUUCAACUGUCUCCACUUCUUUAUAAAGGAAACAUACAUUUAUCUCAAGCCAACGAGACAACAUCGACGUAGUCGCUCAAUCUGUUAGAAAUAGCAAUCAAAUCUCCUUCCAAAUCAUUGCCUUUGAGAAAAAAGUGUUAUAUUAAAUGUAAUUCUAGAAAAAGAUGGGUGGAAUGAUGAGAAUAUUGCUUUUAAUCAUAGGCCUUUUCGAUCAAAAUUGACAUGGCUUUACAUAACUAUUUCUAA